AGUGAACGCUGGCGGUAGGCCUAACACAUGCAAGUCGAACGGCAGCACAGAGGAGCUUGCUCCUUGGGUGGCGAGUGGCGGACGGGUGAGUAAUGCCUAGGAAUCUGCCUGGUAGUGGGGGAUAACGCUCGGAACCGGACGCUAAUACCGCAUACGUCCUACGGGAGAAAGCAGGGGACCUUCGGGCCUUGCGCUAUCAG
RNAcentral lists this ribosomal RNA (200 nucleotides) under uncultured bacterium. RNAcentral's name for it is "partial 16S ribosomal RNA". It matches the Rfam family "Bacterial small subunit ribosomal RNA", at positions 29 to 224 of the family's 1533-position model. The record is from RNAcentral.